This 73-nucleotide transfer RNA is filed under the name Stegodyphus mimosarum. It matches the Rfam family "tRNA". Rfam says of the family: Transfer RNA (tRNA) molecules are approximately 80 nucleotides in length. Their secondary structure includes four short double-helical elements and three loops (D, anti-codon, and T loops). Lineage: Eukaryota; Metazoa; Arthropoda; Arachnida; Araneae; Eresidae. The record is from Rfam by way of RNAcentral.
GCCUUCGUGGUAUACUGGUCAACACGCUCGGCUUGUAUUCGAGAGGUCCUUGGUUCGAAUCUCGGCGAGGACA